Molecule: ribosomal RNA, 298 nt
Filed under: uncultured bacterium
Lineage: Bacteria
Description: partial 16S ribosomal RNA
Rfam family: Bacterial small subunit ribosomal RNA
Source: RNAcentral
GGUAUUCCGCACGAGCGCACCCUCGCCCUUAGUUGCCAUCAUUGAGUUGGGCACUCUAGGGGGACUGCCGGUGAUAAGCCGCGAGGAAGGUGGGGAUGACGUCAAGUCCUCAUGGCCCUUACGGGCUGGGCUACACACGUGCUACAAUGGCGGUGACAGUGGGCAGCGAACCCGCAAGGGGGAGCUAAUCUCCAAAAGCCGUCUCAGUUCGGAUUGUUCUCUGCAACUCGAGAGCAUGAAGUUGGAAUCGCUAGUAAUCGCGUAACAGCAUGACGCGGUGAAUACGUUCCCGGGCCUU